GUCACUUGGGUUUCUUGUUAAAAUGCAGAUUCUGGUUCAGUGGGUCUGGGUUGGAGACUGAGAAUCUGCAUUCUAGCAAGCUCCCAGGUGAUGCUGA
This 97-nucleotide microRNA precursor is filed under the name Canis lupus familiaris (dog). Its description in RNAcentral is "mir-544 microRNA precursor family". It matches the Rfam family "mir-544 microRNA precursor family". The record is from Rfam by way of RNAcentral. Lineage: Eukaryota; Metazoa; Chordata; Mammalia; Carnivora; Canidae. RNAcentral also lists the same sequence under 3 other names.